CUGAGCCGAAGCCAGACGCUUAACGACUGAGCCACCCAGGCGCCCCGUGAUGUGCCCUUGGAAGGGCCAGGGAGGCCAAAGGCAGUGGAUGAAGGGCAAGGUGGUGGCUGUGAAGGGGACAAAGUGAUGACGCAGACGGGAUCUUACACAUGACGGGAUCUUACACAUGAGGAUGGUGACGGGGUCAAAUCCUAACACAUUCUCUUGAGUCAUCGCACCUCUGAGGGAAGGCCCGUGACUGCCCAGCUAUGGAGAUCAUGGACCUGGGGAGAAGGACCCGCCACACAGCCUUUGCUCUGGAACACUUCGCCUCAAAUACCCGAAAACGCAGAUCUGAGUGUCACGUCCCCUCGCUGACCCGCCGUGACGCGUGACGUGGGCUUCCUUCUAGUAUUUGCGCACCUAACGCGUGUUGGGUUUCGGAAGGAAUGGUGGGGGUGGGCAUGCCAAGCACGGCCGGGGCCCUCGGGGAACCCCGUGAGAUGUUUAGGAUAAACAGUGUGACUUUAUUGAAAAAUAGGCAAUGUCUAUUCUGCUUGAGGUCAUCAGGGAAAGCUGGGAAUAAGUCAGCCGGUGUUGACUCGCGAUAAGGCCACUCCAGUACUGUUUCCUGAAUGUUCGCUUGGGACCAGGAAUGAGGCCAAGAGCUUUCCUAUCAUAAAGGACUCAUUCUGCAGCCAGCCACUGAAGCCUGUGUUCUCUUGCGAGGUCUGGGGGGAGCCCCAUCCCCUGGAUGAGGAAACCACAGCAGAGGCGAAUGAAUACACUCGAGUCACCCGGUUCUUACGUCGUGGAACUACUGAUGGGAAUGUCUCUGGGGGGCUGCCUUGGGGGGGCUAGUCCGAGCGUGUCCAGAGCAGCUGACCUUGUCUGGACCUUCCGCAGUGCGCCUGCUUCAUCCAGGGUCCUCAUGAUGGGUGCGCAGGCGAUGAGGUGAGCUGGGGGAGGAGACUAGGAGCAGCUGACGACGGAGAACUUCAAAUGUCAGAUUCCUUGCCCCCUGGACACAGUGGGGGCCACUGCAGUUUUAAUUUUGCCUUCAUCGGUGCUACGGAGGAAAUGAUAUAGGAAGUGUAAGACUGAAUGAUUUCAAUCAGAGUGUGUGGGUAGGAGAGUCGGGACACAAGCCCACCAAGGAAGUCUAGCAAGUGUGGGUGUUCACAGUGGAGUGUCCACACAAGGGCGAACAUAAGCUUGCAGAUAGAAAAGAUCAAAGGAUGGCAAUAAUUAUAAAAGAAAAGCCAGAAUUAAUAAAAAGAAAAAAAGAGCAUGCCUGUCGGCUAAUGGCCAAUUUGAUGCAGCAGCAGGUUUUCCCCCCGAAAUCUAAAAGAAAGCAGGUGGAGGGAGCUCCUGCCCUCAGCGAGUCUGUCGUCUGACUAGGUCAGUCUGCAGGCAAGUGAAGCCGAAGGCAGGAGGCAGAGCAGCUCGAGGCAGAGUCACGAUGACCCGUGGUGGUGACCAUGACUUUGGGCGUCGGGGGUGAAUGACGUGAAUUCCAAACCUUAGGGGCAGGUCAAUACCCUGGUUCCAGCAGCAGGAGGCACACUCUAGAUGGAGACAAAGCCACCAAAUCAACAAGACCAGCGGCUUCUGCCUCCACAGUGCCCUGGUCUCCCGGCACCCCCUCUGCAGAAGAGUGGGGUACGCGGAUUGCCACGGGUGCCUGGAUGAGGGCAGAUUGCCGCUGGUGCCUGGAGUCCACUGAUGGCAGCAAAGGCAUCUCUCCCGCCAACAGCAGUGGCCCAUGUCCCAGACUCCAGGGAGUACAAGGUCCUCCCAAUCUUGCAUUCUGAGCCCAGUCUCCGUCUAGGUACCAGCACUUUCUGAGGCUAGGUGGCCAGCACUCACACAGACUCCCAGGGCUGCGUAUGUACGGAUCGGGAUGGCCUUGGGAUCCCAUCAGCUUGUGGGUGUUGGGUGAGGCCGCUGCUCCCAGGAUCGUGGUAGAGGCAGUUCAUCACAGAGAGCCCUAGGGGCGCCCCUCACUUUCAAACUCUGUCAUCUUGGACCCCUUGCUCUGGCCACUCGAAGGCCAUCAAGUCUCAGCUCACCCAAUGCAAUGUUCUGCCUUGUUUAAAGGGUGGGGUUUUGUCCCUGCUUUUCUGUCAACCGUUUGUGAUUACCUGGACUUGAAAUUAUUAGGUGCCUCAUCAAGCCUCAUCCAACAGCUCCUGGGCAAUCAGACCACUGUUUCACCAAUGUCCAGACCUCAUCUGUGUCCUCAUGCGGUUUUGGGUCCCUGCAAUGUGUUUGGUGCCCCGUGUGAGGGGGGCCUGCUGCCUGGAUGCCCAUCCCGGGAUCUGCGUUGAAGCCAAUGGUGACGACACUUCCUGGGUGCUGACCUGUCUCUUGCCCCUUGCCCACCUUGGCUGCUCCUGUUCUUGGCGUGGACUGUGGUCAUUACGCAAAGCAGCUGCUUGCAGGGAUGAGCGACAGAACUGGCCUUCACGGCGGUGCUGCCCAGGUGCCAGCAGGAACAUCACAGCAAGGUCAGCAUGCAGGCCCUGGGGAGUGGCCCAGAAGAUGCCCAAGCCCCGCCGGUUGUGGUCAUCCAGUGUCAUGAAGACAUGCGUCUGCGACCUGAUGACGACACUCAUCCAUUGCCCCCAGGGCAUGACCCCGGCACCUGCGUAUUUCCAGCCCCCGUGGUGGCAGGAUUCUGGGAUGGAGCCGAUUUACCUGAAGCGGCCACAUUCAGGAAGGUUGGGCUUGCGGUGUCCAGGUAACUACCUCGGACAGUUUGUAACACAGGCGACCUGGUAACAUAAUUAUCCCCAGUCUUCCUUCAGUUCUAAAAAGGCUUUUUCUCUUCGAGACUGAUGCUCAUGUGCACAGACUGGGGGCCGUGUCCCCUGGUUGGAGAUUUCCUCCUUCGAUGAUGAUGGGCUGUCUUCCGUUUCACCCUUGACCAUGCCCGCUUUGCACAAAUGUUGCUGGCAUCUCCGUGGUGUUUUCCACUAAAGAUCCUUAGUUUAUAACCCAUUGUACACGUUGUGAUUGUUUUUGUGCUUUGGGAAUCAGGAGGAAUGUUGGGAGCCGUAUCUGUCAGGGUUCAGUAAAGAACUCAGAAGGCUUGAGGUGUCUCAAGCAGGGCAUUUAAUUCAGGAUGUCAGAUGUGUUUGGAGCUGUUGGAAGUUCGGGGGGAGACCCUGCAGCCAACAGCAGCUCCAGGGGUAAGGCCACCCCUGUGGCCUGAGCUGCCUUUAGCGCCUAGACGGGGUUCGCAGAAGCUCGCCCUGGAUCUCCUGCGUCUACCACAGGCCUGGCUCCACCAGAGUAAAACAAGGGCAUCUCCGUCGGGUUUCGGAUCUCACCUGACUACCCCUCCCCGGCAGACUCCUGAGAGCGUGCUGGAAAGACGUCUGGGAAUUGUGAGGGCUGCCCUGUGGCACAUGGACAGGAGGGGACUCGGGAGACGGGAGAAAACACGGGCUGCCGUGGGGAGUCCUUUCUACUUCCUGCAUGUGCUGGGAAAGCAUUGCUUCCAGGAAGUCCUGGCUAAGAAGUCCCACAGUACAUCUUACGGGAAAGCUGUCCUCUGGCCAUAGGGACACCUAGAGGUAAGCCUACACAGGCAAAAUCAGCACGACACCCCUCCCACUUGACAUGACUACGGUCCUAGUGAUGAUGGUGCAGCUGGUCACCGCCACCAUCCCCGUGGUCACCGGCAUC
Molecule: long non-coding RNA, 3672 nt
Organism: Ailuropoda melanoleuca (giant panda)
Lineage: Eukaryota; Metazoa; Chordata; Mammalia; Carnivora; Ursidae
Exons: 4
Source: RefSeq, a predicted model, not a curated record